CCUACGGGGGGCAGCAGUGGGGAAUAUUGGACAAUGGGGGGAACCCUGAUCCAGCCAUGACGCGUGUGUGAAGAAGGCCCUCGGGUUGUAAAGCACUUUCAGUGAGGAAGAACGCCUGGUGGUUAAUACCCAUCAGGAAAGACAUCACUCACAGAAGAAGCACCGGCUAACUCCGUGCCAGCAGCCGCGGUAAUACGGAGGGUGCGAGCGUUAAUCGGAAUUACUGGGCGUAAAGCGCGCGUAGGUGGCUUGAUAAGCCGGUUGUGAAAGCCCCGGGCUCAACCUGGGAACGGCAUCCGGAACUGUCAAGCUAGAGUGCAGGAGAGGAAGGUAGAAUUCCCGGUGUAGCGGUGAAAUGCGUAGAGAUCGGGAGGAAUACCAGUGGCGAAGGCGGCCUUCUGGACUGACACUGACACUGAGGUGCGAAAGCGUGGGUAGCAAACAGGAUUAGAUACCCUUGUAGUC
RNAcentral lists this ribosomal RNA (465 nucleotides) under Vreelandella stevensii. RNAcentral describes it as "partial 16S ribosomal RNA". It matches the Rfam family "Bacterial small subunit ribosomal RNA", at positions 338 to 795 of the family's 1533-position model. Lineage: Bacteria; Pseudomonadati; Pseudomonadota; Gammaproteobacteria; Oceanospirillales; Halomonadaceae. The record is from RNAcentral.